CCGGUCCAAACCGAUGGAAAUGUAGCUAGCUUAGCGUAGGUCUUCCCUGUCUGUUAGCACGAAGAAAGUUCAGCUGGGCGACUGAACUCGGUCGUUGGCUUCGGAAGUUUAACAGGAUGGCUCCAUUGAAGUUUUGUGCGAAUAUUUCGUGGCUGUUCACAGAGCUUCCGGACUUCAGCCAGAGAAUAUUAGCAGCAGCCGCGGCUGGAUUUCAGGCUGUGGAGGCAGCGUGGCUGUACGAUUCGGAUUUACAGGAGCUUCAGAGAGUCAGAAAGGCCACAGGGGUGGAGGUCGUCCUUAUCAACACCCCGCCAGGAGAUAUAAAGGCAGGUGAUCUUGGUCUUGGAGCAGUUCCUGGGAGAGAAGCAGAGUUCAGAGAGGGACUGGAUCUAAGUUUGAAGUAUGCCAGAGCUUUGGACUGUAAGAGGAUUCACCUGAUGGCUGGGAGAGUUCCCGUGGACUCUGACAGAGCGACGGUUGCCAAGGAAAUGGAGGCCGUCUUUGUGCAGAACCUAAAAUAUGCUGCUGAUAUCCUUUCAAAGGAAGGAAUCACUGGACUGAUUGAACCGAUCAACACCAGGAUUACAGACCCCAGGUAUUUUCUGGACUCUCCUCAUCAGGCAUCUGCAAUCCUGGAGAAGGUUGGAAAGCCAAAUAUGAAACUGCAGAUGGACAUCUUUCACUGGCAAAUAAUGGAUGGAAACCUUACACAAAACAUUCAAAAGUAUAUUCCUAUCAUUGGUCACGUCCAGAUUGCUCAGGUUCCCGGCAGAAAUGAGCCCGACAGCGCCGGAGAGCUCAGUUACAGCUACCUGUUCGACACACUGGAAAACAUCGGCUACCAGGGUUAUAUCGGGUGUGAAUACAAGCCGCAAGGCUCCACAGACGAGGGUCUGGGCUGGAUCAGAGAAUACUGGACUCACAGAAAGUGCUGAGACGAGGUGACGGAGCGUAAAGCUGUCAGUGUUGAGCCCGACGGCACUCUACCUGCAGCACCCACCUUUUCCAUUUAACUUGGGCUUUGCACAGACUCCUGUGGAAUACACGUUUUUCUCCUCAUCAUUGGCGGGUUUGUGCCAAUCGUGUGGAUUUGUGCUUCUUUCUUCAUCAGUGCACUCACUUCAUUAACAGCAGUGAUUCAGGAUAGCAAUGUUGUUCUUUAAAAUCAAGUUCAAAUCGUUUUUUUCCAUAAGUUUCUUCGUAGCGUCAGGUGGAAGGAACGUAGGACGCAGCAGGCAGAGCCGCCCGAAGGCUAACAUGAUAAAAUAGUGGAUGAUUGUGACAGGCAGGCUGUAUCCACAUCAAAAUGUAAAAAAUAUAUAUUUAGAGUAGCAGACUGAUGGAGCAAACAAUUAAGAAUUCAUUUUUGUGAAUGAAAAAUUUUGAGUCCUGGUACGGCAUUUUAAAUAUGAAUAACUGCAACAUAAUCACAAUUAAUAAUGAACUAAUGAAUGCUAUAUUUAAAGUUUUGGCAUGUGAGAAAAUGACCUUCAGGGCUGAAAAAUUAAAGUGCUGAAGUGGGUUUUCUUUCUGAGACGUGUAACUGAGAUAUUAGAAAAAUAAACUUUCCUUCGAUGUAAAAUAUUAUUUUCUGAA
Molecule: RNA transcript, 1596 nt
Organism: Oreochromis niloticus (Nile tilapia)
Lineage: Eukaryota; Metazoa; Chordata; Actinopteri; Cichliformes; Cichlidae
Gene: hyi
Gene name: hydroxypyruvate isomerase
Exons: 9
Source: RefSeq, a predicted model, not a curated record